CCUACGGGUGGCAGCAGUGGGGAAUAUUGCGCAAUGGGCGCAAGCCUGACGCAGCGACGCCGCGUGAGGGAUGACGGUCUUCGGAUCGUAAACCUCUGUCAGCAGGGAAGAACGGUCACUGUGCUAAUCAGCAGUGAAUUGACGGUACCUGCAAAGGAAGCACCGGCUAACUCCGUGCCAGCAGCCGCGGUAAUACGGAGGGUGCGAGCGUUAAUCGGAAUUACUGGGCGUAAAGCGCUCGUAGGCGGUAUGUCAAGUCAAGGGUGAAAUCCCCGGGCUCAACGUGGGAACUGCCUUUGAAACUGGUAAACUGGAGUGUGUGAGAGGAUAGUGGAAUUCCAGGUGUAGGAGUGAAAUCCGUAGAGAUCUGGAGGAACAUCAGUGGCGAAGGCGGUCUGCUGGACAGCAACUGACGCUGAGGCGCGAAAGCGUGGGGAGCAAACAGGAUUAGAUACCCCGGUAGUC
RNAcentral lists this ribosomal RNA (465 nucleotides) under uncultured bacterium. RNAcentral's name for it is "partial 16S ribosomal RNA". It matches the Rfam family "Bacterial small subunit ribosomal RNA", at positions 338 to 795 of the family's 1533-position model. The record is from RNAcentral.